RNAcentral lists this ribosomal RNA (642 nucleotides) under Triticum aestivum (bread wheat). Its description in RNAcentral is "partial small subunit ribosomal RNA". Lineage: Eukaryota; Viridiplantae; Streptophyta; Magnoliopsida; Poales; Poaceae. The record is from RNAcentral.
AUGCAGACUGAUUGGGGAGGUGAAUAUCAAAAACUAAAUACCUUCUUUCAAAAGAUAGGUAUUUCACACCAUGUUUCAUGCCCUCAUGCACACCAACAGAACGGGUCUGCUGAGCGAAAACACAGGCACAUAGUUGAAGUUGGGUUGUCUCUUCUAGCUCAAGCAUCUAUGCCACUAAAAUUUUGGGACGAAGCGUUUCUCACUGCCACAUAUCUCAUUAAUAUUGUGCCUAGUAAAGUGAUCAAUUAUCAAACGCCUGUUGAGCGUCUCUUUUCUACCAAGCCAGACUACUCAUUUCUCAGAAUAUUUGGAUGUGCAUGUUGGCCACACCUACGUCCAUACAGUUCUCGCAAACUUGAAUUUCGCUCUAAACAAUGCACUUUUCUUGGUUACAGUCCUCAACACAAAGGCAACAAAUGUCUUGAAAUCUCCACUGGUCGUGUAUAUAUUUCACGAGAUGUAGUCUUUGAUGAGUCAGUUUUUCCUUUCAAAAAUCUACACCCCAAUGCCGGUGCCCGCCUAUGCCAAGAAAUCCUCUUACCUCCUACCCUUACCAAUCUCAAAAUUCCAGGGGAUGAAAUAGUAGGUGCUGACCAAUUGACUAAUGACCAUACUAAUCAUGCCUCUGGAAGCUUUGAAUCU